GGGCCUGUAUGAAUGGUAGUACGAGGGUUUAACUGUCUCUUCUUUCCAGUCAGUGAAACUGAUCUCUCCGUGCAGAAGCGGACAUUUUUAUACAAGACGAGAAGACCCUAUGGAGCUUUAGACACUAGCCAACUGCCAUCAACGACUCCUCUGAUGAAGCUUCCCAGUGCCGGCGGUUUUGGCAAUGUUGUCUUAGGUUGGGGCGACCGCGGGAGAAAGCAAAGCUCCCGAGCAGACAGGGUUAACCCUGAAACCAAGAGCAACAGCUCUAAGUCGCAAAAUUUUUGACUGUUUGAUCCGGCGUAGAGCCGAUUAACGAACCAAGUUACCCUAGGGAUAACAGCGCAAUCCUCUCCCAGAGUCCAUAUCGAUGAGAGGGUUUACGACCUCGAUGUUGGAUCAGGACAUCCUAAUGGUGCAGCCGCUAUUAAGGGUUUGUUUGUUCAACAAUUAAAGUCCUACAUGAUCUGAGU
Molecule: ribosomal RNA, 473 nt
Filed under: Stolephorus commersonnii (Commerson's anchovy)
Lineage: Eukaryota; Metazoa; Chordata; Actinopteri; Clupeiformes; Engraulidae
Description: LSU rRNA
Rfam family: Bacterial large subunit ribosomal RNA
Source: RNAcentral